GGCAGGGCUCCACUGCUCUUUCAAAAUGUCAAGGCAAAUACUACCAUUGCUGUUGAUAUUUGGGUGGAAAACCUUUGUUCUGAAUGCCACCUUAGGAGGCUUAAAAGGAUAAUCCGGAGGAAAAUGAAUGGUGACAAGGAAAACACCCCCAGCAUAAGGACUGUCUGGAGGACCCAUUAUGGUAGCUUGCCAAUGAAACAUGUCUUCGGCAACUGGACCAGCGCUACAUGAUGUAGGCGGGUCCUUCUGCAAA
Molecule: unclassified non-coding RNA, 253 nt
Filed under: Hevea brasiliensis (rubber tree)
Lineage: Eukaryota; Viridiplantae; Streptophyta; Magnoliopsida; Malpighiales; Euphorbiaceae
Source: RNAcentral